GUAGGUGAACCUGCGGAAGGAUCAUUAAAGUGUUUGGGUCCCCUCGGGGGCCCGACAUCCCACCCUCCUGAAGUUAAGAAAACACCGUUGCUUUGGCUGACCGGUGCCCCGCAAGGGGCGCCGCCGGGCCCUCCAGCCCGGAGAGCGUCGGCCAGAGGACCAUCAAACACAACUUUCAACCAGAUGUCUGAGUGAAAACACAAAUGAAAUUAAAACUUUCAACAACGGAUCUCUUGGUUCUGGCAUCGAU
Molecule: unclassified non-coding RNA, 250 nt
Filed under: plant metagenome
Description: partial contains small subunit ribosomal RNA, internal transcribed spacer 1, and 5.8S ribosomal RNA
Source: RNAcentral